UACGUAGGUGGAAAGCGUUGUGCGGAUUUACUGGGAGUAAAGGGCGUGUAGGCGGGAAAUUAAGUCAAAUGUGAAAGUCCAUGGCUCAACUGUGGGAGUGCAUCUGAAACUGAUUUUCUUGAGUACUGGAGAGGAAAGCGGAAUUCCAAGUGUAGCGGUGAAAUGCGUAGAGAUUUGGAGGAACACCAGUGGCGAAGGCGGCUUUCGGGACAGUAACUGACGAUGAGGCGCGAAAGCUUGGGGAGCAAACAGG
RNAcentral lists this ribosomal RNA (253 nucleotides) under uncultured bacterium. RNAcentral's name for it is "partial 16S ribosomal RNA". It matches the Rfam family "Bacterial small subunit ribosomal RNA", at positions 524 to 776 of the family's 1533-position model. The record is from RNAcentral.